This 534-nucleotide long non-coding RNA is filed under the name Serinus canaria (Common canary). RNAcentral's name for it is "lncRNA (ENSSCAG00000002726.1)". Lineage: Eukaryota; Metazoa; Chordata; Aves; Passeriformes; Fringillidae. The record is from RNAcentral.
AGUCAGCUGAGCAGCACCGAGCUCCUGCCAGUGGAAGUGUUGGUGGAAUUCGGUUCCGAUUUCAGCCCUGACUCCCCUUGCCCCGUUCUGGCUGCCAGCAGCUCCUCAGCAUCACACCGUGGUCAGGAACAUCUCAAUUCACUUUCAAACAUCCUCUUUCAGAUGUAGCCCUCUCUUUGUGUUCAAAACCCGCGCCCUCCCAGCGGGAUCACUUCUGUUUUAGGAGUUAGACUUGCUGGGGGAUUGCAUCAUGAGUGCGUCAGGCUGCUUGCACCGCCAGCAGGGAGGAAAGGCUGGGAACCGUCUGCCCCCUCCCAGCAGCUCUGGCAGGACAAGGACAGCUCUGGGCUCAGGGAAAUCCACCUCGGACCUGGCUGGGCUUGCUUACAAAGUACAAUCUGUCUCAAGUAGCCACGAUGAGGAGGAGACCUGGGAGCAGAAGAAAUGUUACAGAUGAAGCAGCUGAUUAAAGCCCUUCCUGUAUCUUCAGAAUGAUUUUUGUGGACAUGGGCUCCAUGGAACUCUGGUGAUCCC